CAAUAGCGUAUAUUUAAGUUGUUGCAGUUAAAAAGCUCGUAGUUGGAUUUCGGGUGGGACGCAGCGGUCUCGCAUUGCGUUUGUACUGCUGCAGCCCUCCUUCUUGCCGGGGGCGGCCUCUCGGACUUCACUGUCUGGGGGUCAGAAUCGGCGAUGUUACUUUGAGUAAAUUAGAGUGUUCAAAGCAAGCUUACGCUCUGAAUAUAAUAGCAUGGGAUAACACGACAGGACUCUGGCCUAUCGUGUUGGUCUAUAGGACCAGAGUAAUGAUUAAGAGGGACAGUCGGGGGCAUUCGUAUUCCGUUGUCAGAGGUGAAAUUCUUGGAUUUACGGAAGACGAACAUCUGCGAAAGCAUUUGCCAAGGAUGUUCUCAUUGA
RNAcentral lists this ribosomal RNA (378 nucleotides) under uncultured eukaryote. RNAcentral's name for it is "partial 18S ribosomal RNA". It matches the Rfam family "Eukaryotic small subunit ribosomal RNA", at positions 592 to 976 of the family's 1831-position model. The record is from RNAcentral.